RNAcentral lists this ribosomal RNA (460 nucleotides) under uncultured bacterium. Its description in RNAcentral is "partial 16S ribosomal RNA". It matches the Rfam family "Bacterial small subunit ribosomal RNA", at positions 338 to 795 of the family's 1533-position model. The record is from RNAcentral.
CCUACGGGUGGCUGCAGUGAGGAAUAUUGGUCAAUGGACGAGAGUCUGAACCAGCCAAGUCGCGUGAAGGAUGACUGCCCUAUGGGUUGUAAACUUCUUUUAUAUGGGAAUAAAAUGUUCCACGUGUGGGAUUUUGUAUGUACCAUAUGAAUAAGGAUCGGCUAACUCUGUGCCAGCAGCCGCGGUAAUACGGAGGAUACGAGCGUUAUCCGGAUUUAUUGGGUUUAAAGGGAGCGUAGGUGGAUUGUUAAGUCAGUUGUGAAAGUUUGCGGCUCAACCGUAAAAUUGCAGUUGAUACUGGCAGUCUAGAGUACAGUAGAGGUGGGCGGAAGAUGUGGUGUAGCGGUGAAAUGCUUAGAUAUCACGAAGAACACCGAUUGCGAAGGCAGUUCACUGGACUGCAACUGACACUGAGGCACGAAAGUGUGGGUAUCAAACAGGAUUAGAUACCCGAGUAGUC